This 1523-nucleotide ribosomal RNA is filed under the name Escherichia coli NCCP 15655. Its description in RNAcentral is "bacterial SSU rRNA". It matches the Rfam family "Bacterial small subunit ribosomal RNA". The record is from RNAcentral. Lineage: Bacteria; Pseudomonadati; Pseudomonadota; Gammaproteobacteria; Enterobacterales; Enterobacteriaceae.
AGAGUUUGAUCAUGGCUCAGAUUGAACGCUGGCGGCAGGCCUAACACAUGCAAGUCGAACGGUAACAGGAAACAGCUUGCUGUUUCGCUGACGAGUGGCGGACGGGUGAGUAAUGUCUGGGAAACUGCCUGAUGGAGGGGGAUAACUACUGGAAACGGUAGCUAAUACCGCAUAACGUCGCAAGACCAAAGAGGGGGACCUUCGGGCCUCUUGCCAUCGGAUGUGCCCAGAUGGGAUUAGCUUGUUGGUGGGGUAACGGCUCACCAAGGCGACGAUCCCUAGCUGGUCUGAGAGGAUGACCAGCCACACUGGAACUGAGACACGGUCCAGACUCCUACGGGAGGCAGCAGUGGGGAAUAUUGCACAAUGGGCGCAAGCCUGAUGCAGCCAUGCCGCGUGUAUGAAGAAGGCCUUCGGGUUGUAAAGUACUUUCAGCGGGGAGGAAGGGAGUAAAGUUAAUACCUUUGCUCAUUGACGUUACCCGCAGAAGAAGCACCGGCUAACUCCGUGCCAGCAGCCGCGGUAAUACGGAGGGUGCAAGCGUUAAUCGGAAUUACUGGGCGUAAAGCGCACGCAGGCGGUUUGUUAAGUCAGAUGUGAAAUCCCCGGGCUCAACCUGGGAACUGCAUCUGAUACUGGCAAGCUUGAGUCUCGUAGAGGGGGGUAGAAUUCCAGGUGUAGCGGUGAAAUGCGUAGAGAUCUGGAGGAAUACCGGUGGCGAAGGCGGCCCCCUGGACGAAGACUGACGCUCAGGUGCGAAAGCGUGGGGAGCAAACAGGAUUAGAUACCCUGGUAGUCCACGCCGUAAACGAUGUCGACUUGGAGGUUGUGCCCUUGAGGCGUGGCUUCCGGAGCUAACGCGUUAAGUCGACCGCCUGGGGGAGUACGGCCGCAAGGUUAAAACUCAAAUGAAUUGACGGGGGCCCGCACAAGCGGUGGAGCAUGUGGUUUAAUUCGAUGCAACGCGAAGAACCUUACCUGGUCUUGACAUCCACAGAACUUUCCAGAGAUGGAUUGGUGCCUUCGGGAACUGUGAGACAGGUGCUGCAUGGCUGUCGUCAGCUCGUGUUGUGAAAUGUUGGGUUAAGUCCCGCAACGAGCGCAACCCUUAUCCUUUGUUGCCAGCGGUCCGGCCGGGAACUCAAAGGAGACUGCCAGUGAUAAACUGGAGGAAGGUGGGGAUGACGUCAAGUCAUCAUGGCCCUUACGACCAGGGCUACACACGUGCUACAAUGGCGCAUACAAAGAGAAGCGACCUCGCGAGAGCAAGCGGACCUCAUAAAGUGCGUCGUAGUCCGGAUUGGAGUCUGCAACUCGACUCCAUGAAGUCGGAAUCGCUAGUAAUCGUGGAUCAGAAUGCCACGGUGAAUACGUUCCCGGGCCUUGUACACACCGCCCGUCACACCAUGGGAGUGGGUUGCAAAAGAAGUAGGUAGCUUAACCUUCGGGAGGGCGCUUACCACUUUGUGAUUCAUGACUGGGGUGAAGUCGUAACAAGGUAACCGUAGGGGAACCUGCGGUUG